UCGAGCCCGGAGAUAGCUGGUUCUCCCCGAAAUAGCUUUAGGGCUAGCCUCAAGGUGAGAGAUACGGAGGUAGAGCACUGAAUGUCCUAGGGGGUAUUGCACCUACCGAAGACUAUCAAACUCCGAAUGCCGUCAUCUUAUACUUGGGAGUCAGACUGUGGGUGAUAAGAUUCAUAGUCGAAAGGGCAACAGCCCAGAUCGUCAG
This 205-nucleotide ribosomal RNA is filed under the name Clostridioides difficile. RNAcentral's name for it is "partial 23S ribosomal RNA". It matches the Rfam family "Bacterial large subunit ribosomal RNA", at positions 833 to 1038 of the family's 2925-position model. Lineage: Bacteria; Bacillati; Bacillota; Clostridia; Peptostreptococcales; Peptostreptococcaceae. The record is from RNAcentral.